Molecule: RNA transcript, 3227 nt
Organism: Monodelphis domestica (gray short-tailed opossum)
Lineage: Eukaryota; Metazoa; Chordata; Mammalia; Didelphimorphia; Didelphidae
Gene: SMIM3
Gene name: small integral membrane protein 3
Source: RefSeq, a predicted model, not a curated record
GACUUCCCCUAGCUGUGAAGAAGGCAGCUGCAAUUUGAGAGCAGCUUCUAUGACCCGCCUCCUGGCACUACCGGGGCGAGUCCAGCCAGAGACGGCUGGAGAUCCACAGAGCCCAGGAGGCUUGGACUGGAGCUCAGGAACCGAGCUCGGACCCUAGUAUCAAGGUCCUCCUUCUCCAUUGAUAGUCUAUGCUGGAGAGAAAAUUGGUUCUUUCCCCAAUUUAAAGGUGUGUCUGAUCAGAAGGAGCGGGAGUGUCUCUGAGAAGCAAAGAGGGAACCUCACUUCUCUGGGAUUUCAGGAGCCAAAUCAGGCACAAAGAAUCUUUAACUCAAUACAUCCUGUGAACAUCAAGGGAGAGAGCUAUCUUAUUGAGCAGAUUAAAAAAAAAAAGAGGACAAAAAAGAAUCAACAAGACUGAUCAAUCUAUUUAAAAAACAAAAACAAAAAUCUAUGUAAUGCUACAUACCUGUGGACCUCUCACUAUUGCAAAGGAGUGUGUGUGUAUGUGAGGGUAAAGCAACAUGGAUCCCAUCAGCCAAGCCUCUCCAAAGGAUGUGCUGCCCAAGCACAUCCUGGACAUCUGGGCCAUCGUCCUCAUUAUCCUGGCCACCAUUGUGAUCAUGACCUCUCUGGUGCUGUGCCCAGCCACAGCUGUUAUCAUUUACCGAAUUCGGACUCAUCCCAUACUUAAUCAAGCCUUUUGAAGCCUCUGGAUAUUGGGGGUGGAGGGAGGACCAGGCUGGGCCUUUGUUGCUAGAACCUGGCCUAGAAAACUCCCCCUCAUUAGCAAAGGAAUGAGAAGAGUCUUACCAUUAGGGAAAAUGGUUUGAAGCUACCAAAGGGGACUAGAUCUUGUCUGGGAAAUGCCUUUAUGAUGUAUGUCUUCAUCAGCAACCAUCAACAGUGAUGGAAGAAGGAAGCUUUCUGGCAGGGCUGGACUACUUCUGUCAAGCAGAUCCAGCCCAGUUUUAGGAUGUGCAAGCUAUGAGAGGAAGCCUCCUGAGUUUGGGACUUCUGGGAAUCAGAGAUGCUCCUAGAGAUAUCAUCAGGGACAAAGAUGACUGAGGACUUACUUCUCUCUUCCUACAUCCCCUUAAAAAUACAAGUUCUUCCAGUCACCAAUAAAGCCCUCUCUGUUCUAGGUAGUCCCCUAACAAGUUUUCUAUCAUGUUAAAUUCUUGGUAGGACUUUAUUCUUAGCUAGUUGCAAAUUAGCUAAGGUGCUAGCUUAUUAUAGUUUAAACACUCUUCCCCAUUAGAACAUUUAUAUUUUAAUAAAAUACUAUAUUCAAGCUUUCAUUGCCUAAAGGAAUGACUAGUAGUCAAUAAAAGUUUAUUAAGCACCUACUAUGUGCCAGGUAUUAUGUUAAACCCUGGAGAUAGACAAAGAAAGGCAAAAGCAAAGGCUCCCUACUUCAGGAAAUCCAUAGAUCUCAGACAUUGUGGCAAUUUCUUGGAAGAUAUUUGGGGAGAGGGCUCCUUCAGAGUUCUGGUUCUGUUCAACUGUCAGGAGCAUAUCUGUUGUAUUCUAUGAUAUGAUAUUUUUAGCUGGAAGAAGGUAGAGAGUUUGGCUGGUACAGGGAAGGUUGAACGUAGCAUUUCCCAAGUUCUUGCCACUGCUACCAUGGAGGAUCUAAAAACCAGAGCUCCUGGGGUAGAGAUUCUAAAGUUCUGCUGGGCACACAGACAUCCCCUGCCUCUCCAAAGAGAGCUAAGGCUGAACUUAGCAGGAGAAGCACUAUUGCCUAAUUCCUUAUCCACUCAUGAUUAUAUAUAUAUAUAUAUAUAUAUAUAUAUAUAUAUAUAUAUAUAUGUGUGUGUGUGUGUGUGUGUGUUCCAGGGCUGCUGGUCCUCAUUUUUGGGGGUAGGGCAAGGGACCAGCUAUGUGAUUUGAUUGGCGCUGAAUUUUCCACUAGUGAAUUGUGUGGCCUUAGCUAGAUAGGAAGUUGAGAUCUUAGAGGUUAAGUGAUUUUUUCCAACAUCACACAGAAAGUUAUUCAUAACAGAAUUGAGAAUUGAGUCCAGCACAAAUGAGUUUUAGUGGAGUGAUCCUCCUUCUAUAUCAUUCACAUUUUGGAGUAAGUGCAAAAUGGAGAAUGUAAAUGAUUAUUCAUAUUUUAUGACACUUUAAGUUUAGCAAAGGGCUUUCCUCAUAAAAGACCUUCGAGGAAGGUGAUAUUGCAAACAUCAUUAUUCUCAUUUUAAAGAUAGGGAAGCUAUGAUUCAAAGAAGACCACAAAGCCAAUAAGUGUCAGAGUUGGGACUUCCAUGCAGGCCUUUCCACUCCAGGUGUCCAUAUUCUUUCUUCCAUAGAUUGCUAUCCUGCAAAUUAUGAUGAGAAUACCCCCCCAGUUAUAGGGAAUGUGGCAUAGCCGAUAGCAAGCUGGCUUCAGACUUUUGUUUAAGACCUUUUUCUAACAUAUAUUAGCAGUAUGAUCACAUGUGCAUCAUACUUCUUGAUAUCCAGAAAACUAAGAUUAAAAAUUGUAGUACAUUUGCUAAUCUGUAUUGGUAGAUUGUUACCUUAUGGAGAGCUCCCUAUAACAAUCAAAUUACAGUUUCCGUUAAAAAUAUAUUCUACAAUGGCUCUAUGAACACAUCUAUUUAGAUGUCCCCUCUGAUGAUGUAUCUCACAAUCAUCUAUGUCCACCCAUCCUAGAUGACUCUUUUCUAGAUCCUUUCAUGUGAGAGUAAAAGAAGUGAAAGCUCUUUGAAAACUGUGAUAUAUGAGAUAAUGUGUCAAUGAAACAGGGAAUGUGAUGUCAGUAAUUCAGCACAUGCCCCUUUUCCUGUGCAAUUGAUUCACUGAUUGCCCAAGGCUUUCACCUACCCUUCCUUCCUUCCUUCUAGGCUCCAUAAUUUUUCUGUCCCCUCCUCUUGUUCUUUACUCAUUAUAAGGGAACCCUCCCAUGGCAUCUUUCCCCCAGGAUCUAAUCUCUGCUCAAGUGAGUGGGCACAUUACCUUUCCCAAAGAAGAGAUUUUAUUUUCUAAUGGAAGCUGUCCUACCCUGGUGACUCUACUGGGGACAUGUCAGCAAGGAUGGCAGGGGAGAUAUUUCUGGACAGAUAGGGCAAUAUCAUUACCAAGUAAGGGAAAUUCCUAGAGCUCAGAAAGUUGUUUGGGAAGACUGAACAAAGAUCUAGUAGGAAAAGAAUGUUUUUACUUAGUAUGUGUUCUGAUUUUCCAGAUGGACUCUUAAUUGCCAUUAAAAAUAACAGGAUGAGAAA